This 337-nucleotide long non-coding RNA is filed under the name Mytilus galloprovincialis (Mediterranean mussel). The record is from RNAcentral. Lineage: Eukaryota; Metazoa; Mollusca; Bivalvia; Mytilida; Mytilidae.
AAAACAAGAGGCUGUCACAACGACAACAAACCGGAUUUAUUUACAUUUAUUUGUGUCGUGGCAAUAUCACAAGAACCAUUACUGAUGAAUGGUGAAAGUGAAAAUCAUCAAUAUCAAAUUUGACCUCCAUUUUGUCAUCAGUAUCAACAUUUUGAAAUAAUAAUAUUUGAAAAGCUUAGAUUGAAUGGUUCAUGAGUAAAUGCAACAACGUGAAUGGAAACGCCAUUUUACAAUCUUUCAAGAACCAUAACUCCUGAACAGUAAAAGUCAAAAUCGUCAUUAUGGAACUUGACCUCUAUUUUGUCAUCAGUAACAACAUAUUAAAAUUUCAAAAGCU